UCCCGAAGUGUCGAAGCUUGAGAAACUUGUUGCGUAAUACCGACGUUAAAACAAAGACAAAAGGAAAAGAACCGUGAGAGCGGCAAAUCACACACACACGGAAACCUGCAGGGGUCUCACGUGCUGCAGAAAUCCUGGAAGAACAGUGAGUCAGCGGAAACCUUGAACACACCUCAGAGAGGAGUCAGAGCUGCUGCAGAGGAAACGCUCACUUCACUGCAGCUGGAAAAUAACAAAGUCCUCAAACUGCUGCUUUAUCUGAACCAUUAAACACACAAGAUCAAGAUUAAACCAGAUGUUGACAGAUGUCGACAGCAGCUCCACAUCUCCCUCUAAUCUCCUUUGAAAGUGGAUUUUUUUCUGAGAACCUGGUGUGUAAUUAAAGGGUUAACGACAGCAGGAAGUAAAAACACUCGGAGGAUAAAAUGUGAUGAAACAAGAGAUUUGACGUCUGUGUUUCACAAUCAGAACAAACUGUUUCCUGCUGAUUCACACAAUAAGACUCAGAGACGAUCACUCUGAUGAGUCAUGAUUAUUAAUACUAUUGAUAAAUAUUAGACACAUGAAACUUGACUUGCUGCUGUAACGACGCUUCAGAUUUGAUCAGCUGAUCAAAUGUUUUGAGUCUUUUAAUCAAGUAAAAUUAAAAAUGCUGAGUGACAGCUGAUUAUUGGUGAUCAAUAACCUCGUUAACAGCAGAGCUGAAGACAAGUUUCACUUUACCAGUGAAACAUAUGAAAAGAAUGAAGUUUAAUGUGUUUAUUAUUAUUAAAUUUAAUUUGACAGAAACUUUUCAUCCUCCAGUACAAACUGAUCAAAUCAACUCAAGGGUCACUUACGGGCUUUCAACCACAUCCCACAACCUUCUUCAGUGAAUGGAGCUGGCUCAGAUUUACAGAGACUCAGGUCACAUGAUGACACCUGGGCCAGCUGCACCUGCAGAGGAAGACCAUGAGACAUGGUCAAAAGCUCUGCACAAAGCUGGACCUCGAGUUUAGAAUAAACAGACGUGGAUUUAACUCAGGAAGCAGGAAAGAGAAAAGACCAGGUGACAUUUGGUCAGGGUUCUGUCAGCUAUGAAUUCUGGGAGAUAAAGACCUGCUGACUCGGCGCUUGUGAAACGUCUCCAGCUGGACGAGCUCAGAGUGAAGGGGCUGCUGGGAAACCACUUCCUGUUUUACUCGAAGCUGAUUGGAUGAAACCAACAUCAGCUGUUUAGUUCUGAGAAAAAACAUGAACUUUCAGUUCAGAGUUUAAUGUUGAAGGUGACAAUCAGUUUGUUUCAAAUCAAUAAACACAUUUCCCAUGAUGCAUCAGUGUGACGCUCAUGUUCUCAGUGGUUUUCUGCUUCGUCAGCUGAACGACUCUGAGGGAUUUCAUAAGCCUGGUCUGAGAGAGGGUCCAGGUCCAGAGGGUCCUGAGUCACAGAGACCUGAACCAGAGACCUGCUGAUUGAUCGAUCGAUCAAUCGAUCAAUCAAUCAAUCAAUCAAUCAAUCAAUCAGUUUGAUUAUUAAACAGAGUCUACAUAAAAUUUCAAAAUUAAAACUCACAAACAAUAAGAACCUGAAGGGAACCUGUGGACUCUGGUUUCUCCUACAGCGGGGAGGAGUGUCACACUGUUGCCACGGUAAUAACAACAUAUGAGCAUCUCUCAUUAAUUUCUGCCUGUCUUAACG
Molecule: long non-coding RNA, 1678 nt
Organism: Seriola aureovittata
Lineage: Eukaryota; Metazoa; Chordata; Actinopteri; Carangiformes; Carangidae
Exons: 3
Source: RefSeq, a predicted model, not a curated record